Molecule: ribosomal RNA, 492 nt
Filed under: uncultured bacterium
Lineage: Bacteria
Description: partial 16S ribosomal RNA
Rfam family: Bacterial small subunit ribosomal RNA
Source: RNAcentral
AUUGAACGCUGGCGGCAUGCUUUACACAUGCAAGUCGAACGGUAACAGGCCUUCGGGUGCUGACGAGUGGCGAACGGGUGAGUAAUGCAUCGGAACGUACCCAGAGGUGGGGGAUAACGCAGCGAAAGCUGUGCUAAUACCGCAUGUGAUCUGAGGAUGAAAGCGGGGGACCGAGCAGCAAUGUUUGGCCUCGCGCCUUUGGAGCGGCCGAUGUCGGCUUUGCUAGUUGGUGGGGUAAAGGCCUACCAAGGCGACGGUCCGUAGCUGGUCUGAGAGGACGGCCAGCCACACUGGGACUGAGACACGGCCCAGACUCCUACGGGAGGCAGCAGUGGGGAAUUUUGGACAAUGGGCGCAAGCCUGAUCCAGCAAUGCCGCGUGCGGGAAGAAGGCCUUCGGGUUGUAAACCGCUUUUGGCAGGAACGAAACGGUGUCCGCUAAUACCGGGCGCUAAUGACGGUACCUGCAGAAUAAGCACCGGCUAACUACGUG